Molecule: transfer RNA, 73 nt
Filed under: Haloferacaceae archaeon YAN
Lineage: Archaea; Methanobacteriati; Methanobacteriota; Halobacteria; Halobacteriales; Haloferacaceae
Also listed under: 1 other name
Description: tRNA-Pro
Rfam family: tRNA
About the family: Transfer RNA (tRNA) molecules are approximately 80 nucleotides in length.
Source: RNAcentral
GGGUUCGUGGGGUAGCUUGGUAUCCUUCGACGUUUGGGACGUUGUGACCCCAGUUCAAAUCUGGGCGAACCCA